CUAUGAAUGAGGGAGAGACACAGCCGGACCAUGACAAGAUCGGGCAUUCUUUUCAAGCCUGCUUCCUCAUUUAGGCUGACACUUCAAGUCCAAGCGCUCUGUGGUUUUAUGAAGAGUAAAGCAGCUGGAGAGCAGCCUCUGCGUUUGGGUCCACUCCUGCUUCCCCAACCUGACAGACAGAAGUAGUAAAAACACAGUGGCAGAGAUGUGUUGAUCUGGCAGGGGUCCACCUCCAAACCCUCUUUCAAAUGAGGCAGUGAUGGUAGUGGACAUCACUGAUCACGACUCACCUAUGGAAUUACCGGCAGAGGGGAGAGUAGUGGUCAUUUGGAAAAAGAAGCAACGGAGACAGUCCAUCUGUUCUGGCACUCCGAGGGGAAGUUUUACUUCUCCAAAAAAGGAAAUUAGAGCUUCAAAUUGAGAACUUGG
Molecule: long non-coding RNA, 429 nt
Organism: Thunnus maccoyii (southern bluefin tuna)
Lineage: Eukaryota; Metazoa; Chordata; Actinopteri; Scombriformes; Scombridae
Exons: 4
Source: RefSeq, a predicted model, not a curated record